GGUUAAGCGACUAAGCGUACACGGUGGAUGCCCUGGCAGUCAGAGGCGAUGAAGGACGUGCUAAUCUGCGAAAAGCGUCGGUAAGGUGAUAUGAACCGUUAUAACCGGCGAUGUCCGAAUGGGGAAACCCAGUGCAAUUCGUUGCACUAUCGUUAACUGAAUACAUAGGUUAACGAGGCGAACCGGGGGAACUGAAACAUCUAAGUACCCCGAGGAAAAGAAAUCAACCGAGAUUCCCCCAGUAGCGGCGAGCGAACGGGGAGCAGCCCAGAGUCUGAAUCAGCUUGUGUGUUAGUGGAACGGUCUGGAAAGUCCGACGGUACAGGGUGAUAGUCCCGUACACCAAAAUGCACAGGUUGUGAACUCGAAGAGUAGGGCGGGACACGUGGUAUCCUGUCUGAAUAUGGGGGGACCAUCCUCCAAGGCUAAAUACUCCUGACUGACCGAUAGUGAACCAGUACCGUGAGGGAAAGGCGAAAAGAACCCCGGCGAGGGGAGUGAAAAAGAACCUGAAACCGUGUACGUACAAGCAGUGGGAGCACCUUCGGGUGUGACUGCGUACCUUUUGUAUAAUGGGUCAGCGACUUAUAUUCUGUAGCAAGGUUAACCGUAUAGGGGAGCCGCAGGGAAACCGAGUCUUAACUGGGCGUUAAGUUGCAGGGUAUAGACCCGAAACCCGGUGAUCUAGCCAUGGGCAGGUUGAAGGUUGGGUAACACUAACUGGAGGACCGAACCGACUAAUGUUGAAAAAUUAGCGGAUGACUUGUGGCUGGGGGUGAAAGGCCAAUCAAACCGGGAGAUAGCUGGUUCUCCCCGAAAGCUAUUUAGGUAGCGCCUCGUGAAUUCAUCUUCGGGGGUAGAGCACUGUUUCGGCUAGGGGGUCAUCCCGACUUACCAACCCGAUGCAAACUACGAAUACCGAAGAAUGUUAUCACGGGAGACACACGGCGGGUGCUAACGUCCGUCGUGAAGAGGGAAACAACCCAGACCGCCAGCUAAGGUCCCAAAGUCAUGGUUAAGUGGGAAACGAUGUGGGAAGGCACAGACAGCCAGGAUGUUGGCUUAGAAGCAGCCAUCAUUUAAAGAAAGCGUAAUAGCUCACUGGUCGAGUCGGCCUGCGCGGAAGAUGUAACGGGGCUAAACCAUGCACCGAAGCUGCGGCAGCGACACUAUGUGUUGUUGGGUAGGGGAGCGUUCUGUAAGCCUGCGAAGGUGUGCUGUGAGGCAUGCUGGAGGUAUCAGAAGUGCGAAUGCUGACAUAAGUAACGAUAAAGCGGGUGAAAAGCCCGCUCGCCGGAAGACCAAGGGUUCCUGUCCAACGUUAAUCGGGGCAGGGUGAGUCGACCCCUAAGGCGAGGCCGAAAGGCGUAGUCGAUGGGAAACAGGUUAAUAUUCCUGUACUUGGUGUUACUGCGAAGGGGGGACGGAGAAGGCUAUGUUAGCCGGGCGACGGUUGUCCCGGUUUAAGCAUGUAGGCUGAUUGUCCAGGCAAAUCCGGAUAAUCAAGGCUGAGGUGUGAUGACGAGGCACUACGGUGCUGAAGUAACAAAUGCCCUGCUUCCAGGAAAAGCCUCUAAGCAUCAGGUAACAUUAAAUCGUACCCCAAACCGACACAGGUGGUCAGGUAGAGAAUACCAAGGCGCUUGAGAGAACUCGGGUGAAGGAACUAGGCAAAAUGGUGCCGUAACUUCGGGAGAAGGCACGCUGGUGUGUAGGUGAAGUCCCUGCGGAUGGAGCUGAGACCAGUCGAAGAUACCAGCUGGCUGCAACUGUUUAUUAAAAACACAGCACUGUGCAAACACGAAAGUGGACGUAUACGGUGUGACGCCUGCCCGGUGCCGGAAGGUUAAUUGAUGGGGUUAUCCGUAAGGAGAAGCUCUUGAUCGAAGCCCCGGUAAACGGCGGCCGUAACUAUAACGGUCCUAAGGUAGCGAAAUUCCUUGUCGGGUAAGUUCCGACCUGCACGAAUGGCGUAAUGAUGGCCAGGCUGUCUCCACCCGAGACUCAGUGAAAUUGAACUCGCUGUGAAGAUGCAGUGUACCCGCGGCAAGACGGAAAGACCCCGUGAACCUUUACUAUAGCUUGACACUGAACAUUGAGCCUUGAUGUGUAGGAUAGGUGGGAGGCUUUGAAGCGUGGACGCCAGUCUGCGUGGAGCCAACCUUGAAAUACCACCCUUUAAUGUUUGAUGUUCUAACGUUGGCCCCUGACCGGGGUUGCGGACAGUGUCUGGUGGGUAGUUUGACUGGGGCGGUCUCCUCCCAAAGCGUAACGGAGGAGCACGAAGGUUAGCUAAUCCUGGUCGGACAUCAGGAGGUUAGUGCAAUGGCAUAAGCUAGCUUGACUGCGAGCGUGACGGCGCGAGCAGGUGCGAAAGCAGGUCAUAGUGAUCCGGUGGUUCUGAAUGGAAGGGCCAUCGCUCAACGGAUAAAAGGUACUCCGGGGAUAACAGGCUGAUACCGCCCAAGAGUUCAUAUCGACGGCGGUGUUUGGCACCUCGAUGUCGGCUCAUCACAUCCUGGGGCUGAAGUAGGUCCCAAGGGUAUGGCUGUUCGCCAUUUAAAGUGGUACGCGAGCUGGGUUUAGAACGUCGUGAGACAGUUCGGUCCCUAUCUGCCGUGGGCGCUGGAGAAUUGAGGGGGGCUGCUCCUAGUACGAGAGGACCGGAGUGGACGCAUCACUGGUGUUCGGGUUGUCAUGCCAAUGGCACUGCCCGGUAGCUAAAUGCGGAAGAGAUAAGUGCUGAAAGCAUCUAAGCACGAAACUUGCCCCGAGAUGAGUUCUCCCUGAGACUUUAAGUCUCCUGAAGGAACGUUAAAGACGAUGACGUUGAUAGGCCGGGUGUGUAAGCGCAGCGAUGCGUUGAGCUAACCGGUACUAAUGAACCGUGAGGCUUAACCUU
This 2902-nucleotide ribosomal RNA is filed under the name Klebsiella pneumoniae. Its description in RNAcentral is "23S ribosomal RNA". It matches the Rfam family "Bacterial large subunit ribosomal RNA". The record is from RNAcentral. Lineage: Bacteria; Pseudomonadati; Pseudomonadota; Gammaproteobacteria; Enterobacterales; Enterobacteriaceae.